RNAcentral lists this ribosomal RNA (492 nucleotides) under uncultured bacterium. RNAcentral's name for it is "partial 16S ribosomal RNA". It matches the Rfam family "Bacterial small subunit ribosomal RNA", at positions 29 to 507 of the family's 1533-position model. The record is from RNAcentral.
AGUGAACGCUGGCGGUAGGCCUAACACAUGCAAGUCGAACGGCAGCACAGUAAGAGCUUGCUCUUACGGGUGGCGAGUGGCGGACGGGUGAGGAAUACAUCGGAAUCUACUUUUUCGUGGGGGGUAACGUAGGGAAACUUACGCUAAUACCGCAUACGACCUACGGGUGAAAGCAGGGGAUCUUCGGACCUUGCGCGAUUGAAUGAGCCGAUGUCGGAUUAGCUAGUUGGCGGGGUAAAGGCCCACCAAGGCGACGAUCCGUAGCUGGUCUGAGAGGAUGAUCAGCCACACUGGAACUGAGACGCGGUCCAGACUCCUACGGGAGGCAGCAGUGGGGAAUAUUGGACAAUGGGCGCAAGCCUGAUCCAGCCAUACCGCGUGGGUGAAGAAGGCCUUCGGGUUGUAAAGCCCUUUUGUUGGGAAAGAAAAGCAGCAGGUUAAUACCCCGCUGUUCUGACGGUACCCAAAGAAUAAGCACCGGCUAACUUCGUG